Molecule: long non-coding RNA, 619 nt
Organism: Eriocheir sinensis (Chinese mitten crab)
Lineage: Eukaryota; Metazoa; Arthropoda; Malacostraca; Decapoda; Varunidae
Exons: 3
Source: RefSeq, a predicted model, not a curated record
CUUGAAGAACGGGUGUAUCUCUUCUAAAACAGUGGAGAUUUUUUCCUAAUACAGCGUGUGUCGUACCACAGAUGGAGAAGCUGUCGUGCUCCAUCAUACUGCGUCAGGCGUAUGUUGACGACAUCCACGUCAAACUUCAGCUGGGACAUGUGCUGGACAUGGCUCAAAGAUAUCCGGGCUUCAACAUGGCGCACAUUUUCACCGUAAGAAAUGAGAAUCUUGUCGAGAUCCUACGGUUCGUGGUCAUGUAUGUCGUCAUUUUCCACCAGUUCUGGACGACUGAGGACUGACUGAAAAGUGGCAUGGUACGAAUAACGAAAAGAGAUAAUUUAGCAAGAAAAAGAAAAAAACAGGCAAUCACGACCAUGAGCAUUACUCUUAUGACUGGCAGACAUUUGCAGAUACAGUAAAACUAGUAAAGGACGAACAUUAACCAGCAAUAACAAAACCAGCAACAGCAUCAAUAGUAAUACCACAACCAUCUAUGUAUGAUCAACCUAUUUGGUAUUGUGAAAAUCGGUAAUUUUCUAUAAUAUAAUAUAAUAAAAUAUAAUAAUAUAAUGUAAUAUAAUAUUAAUGAAUAAGAGUACCAAAAAUUAUGAUGAUAUAAAAUAAUCAU